Molecule: ribosomal RNA, 1574 nt
Filed under: bacterium NXKED4
Lineage: Bacteria
Description: bacterial SSU rRNA
Rfam family: Bacterial small subunit ribosomal RNA
Source: RNAcentral
CGCGAUAUCGAUUCGCGUGUCGCCCUUAGAGUUUGAUCCUGGCUCAGGACGAACGCUGGCGGCGUGCCUAAUACAUGCAAGUUGAACGCUUGAUUUUCACCGAAGCUUGCUUCACCGAAAAUCAAGAGUAGCGAACGGGUGAGUAACGCGUGGGUAAUCUACCUAUCAGCGGGGGAUAACUAUUGGAAACGAUAGCUAAUACCGCAUAACGAUGUUGGAUGCAUAUUCGGCAUUUGAAAGUACCAACUGGUACACUGAGAGAUGGACCCGCGUUGUAUUAGCUAGUUGGUAGUGUAAUGGACUACCAAGGCGAUGAUACAUAGCCGACCUGAGAGGGUGAUCGGCCACAUUGGGACUGAGACACGGCCCAAACUCCUACGGGAGGCAGCAGUAGGGAAUCUUCGGCAAUGGACGAAAGUCUGACCGAGCAACGCCGCGUGAGUGAAGAAGGUUUUCGGAUCGUAAAACUCUGUUGUUAGAGAAGAACGUUGCAUAGAGUGGAAAAUUAUGCAAGUGACGGUAUCUAACCAGAAAGGGACGGCUAACUACGUGCCAGCAGCCGCGGUAAUACGUAGGUCCCGAGCGUUGUCCGGAUUUAUUGGGCGUAAAGCGAGCGCAGGUGGUUUAAUAAGUCUGAUGUAAAAGGCAGUGGCUCAACCAUUGUGUGCAUUGGAAACUGUUAGACUUGAGUGCAGUAGAGGAGAGUGGAAUUCCAUGUGUAGCGGUGAAAUGCGUAGAUAUAUGGAGGAACACCGGUGGCGAAAGCGGCUCUCUGGACUGUCACUGACACUGAGGCUCGAAAGCGUGGGUAGCAAACAGGAUUAGAUACCCUGGUAGUCCACGCCGUAAACGAUGAGUGCUAGUUGUUUGGGGCUAUCCAGCCCUAAGUGACGCAGCAAACGCAUUAAACACUCCGCCUGGGGAGUACGACUGCAAGGUUGAAACUCAAAGGAAUUGACGGGGGCCCGCACAAGCGGUGGAGCAUGUGGUUUAAUUCGAAGCAACGCGAAGAACCUUACCAGGUCUUGACAUACUCGUGCUAUUCCUAGAGAUAGGAAGUUCCUUCGGGACACGGGAUACAGGUGGUGCAUGGUUGUCGUCAGCUCGUGUCGUGAGAUGUUGGGUUAAGUCCCGCAACGAGCGCAACCCCUAUUGUUAGUUGCCAUCAUUAAGUUGGGCACUCUAGCGAGACUGCCGGUAAUAAACCGGAGGAAGGUGGGGAUGACGUCAAAUCAUCAUGCCCCUUAUGACCUGGGCUACACACGUGCUACAAUGGUUGGUACAACGAGUCGCAAGGCAGUGAUGCCAAGCUAAUCUCUUAAAGCCAAUCUCAGUUCGGAUUGUAGGCUGCAACUCGCCUACAUGAAGUCGGAAUCGCUAGUAAUCGCGGAUCAGCACGCCGCGGUGAAUACGUUCCCGGGCCUUGUACACACCGCCCGUCACACCACGAGAGUUUGUAAUACCCAAAGCCGGUGAGCUAACCUUUUAGGAGGCAGCCGUCUAAGGUAGGAUAGAUGAUUGGGGUGAAGUCGUAACAAGGUAACCAAGGGCGACACGCGAAUCGAUAUCAAGCU